AGACGAAAGACGAGACGAUUGUCCCCAAACAUGGUCCCAAGAUGCACGUUUUGUAAAUGGUGAAUCUCAAAUUAAUCAAAGAACUCGUCAUUUCACUUCAUUGACUUUCUCUUCCCAUUUUAAUAAUGAUGAUAAAUUGCAAGAACUUACCGGAGAUCUCUUCCUUUCUGUGGUUCCUUUCAAUUGAUUCCUUUGAGUUUAAUCUCUCGCCGCUGUUCCAGACCUUAUCCACUAGCGGAAUAUGCCGAGAGAUGUUGAACUUAUUCCAGGUUAACCCUUCGCCAUCGUGCUAUAGAAGUUGACGGUUAAACAAGAGCUUGCUUUCGAUCAAUAACAAUAAAUUAGGUAGAUGUAGAUAAAUAACAAGUGCAUGGGCUCCCUUCUAUUCUGUGGCCCCGUUUCCCUAACUAACCACCUACGGAGGGCUCUGGUCGAACGGGGACUUGAACGGUUCAUGUUCUGAGGAAAAUUUUUUGAGGGACAAGAGUCUAAUCAGGCAGUCUACUAUGAUCCCAAGCAAAAGUUGCCUCGCACUCUUCUUUCUUCUUCCUUGUCCGGGUAAUCUCUCUGGGCAGAGUCAAUCAAGGUAGUCUCCC
RNAcentral lists this long non-coding RNA (596 nucleotides) under Daphnia pulex (common water flea). Its description in RNAcentral is "uncharacterized LOC124201087, transcript variant X1". Lineage: Eukaryota; Metazoa; Arthropoda; Branchiopoda; Diplostraca; Daphniidae. The record is from RNAcentral.